Oreochromis aureus is the source of this 264-nucleotide long non-coding RNA. RefSeq lists it as uncharacterized. NCBI's taxonomy places the organism in Eukaryota, Metazoa, Chordata, Actinopteri, Cichliformes, Cichlidae. The record is from RefSeq and is a predicted model, not a curated record. The transcript is spliced from 3 exons.
AAAGUGCACAAAUAAACAUUCCAGUUAUCAAUGCUAAUGACAUAGUUUGUAACCAGAUCAUACUUAAUGGAGAUACAUGGCCAGAAACCCCAGCUGGAGAAACAGUGAUUAUUCGAACAUGCCCACCAGGAAGGGUUGGCUAUAAGUCCCGGACUUGUAUCGGCCCUGCUUGGCAGGACGUGUUCUCCAGCUGCGUCAGUGAAGAAUUGGACAAAGUUUCAAAUGCAGCUCAAGCCUUCCUGAAGGGACUAGGGGCUACCCGGA